CUCAAGCUGGGGUGCUGCAUUCGUUUGUGUGAAUUUAACAUUUGUUUGGCUUUAAGACGUUCUGUUCACAAAGGAACACUUGGGGGGCAGCCCCUAAAUGUUUGCAGUGCUGUUCGUCUGGGUUUCCGUGCAUUUGUGUGCAUGUGUGUCUCUCUGCCCAUCUGUUCUUCUGUGUCUUGUAUGUUUGUGUGUGUGUGUGUGUGUGUGUGUGUGUGUGUGUGUGUGUGUGUGUGUGUGUGUGUGUGUGUGUGUGUGUGUGUGUGUGUGUGUGUGUGUGUGUUUGUGUCUGUGGGUUAAGCAGUGUGUGAGAGGCAAACCAGCUCAGCAGGUAUUAUCAAUGGACCAGAUUAACAGUGAAAACUCUAAUCCCAUGUUCAGCUUUACACUUCAGCUGUCUGUGCGAAUGAGUGUAAUUUUUCACUUGUUCUAUUGUAGGCGAUAUAUUAUCCCCUUACAUAUCUAUAUUAUAUAUAGAUAUGUAGAACAGUAUCGCAAUAUGAUAUUGGUGGGCGUGGAGAUAACAUUUUCUUUAAUCUCAGAAUAUCUUUCUGUCUGUUGGUCUGUCUGUAUUUAUUGUUGAUGCAGUAGUUAAUUCAUGAAUGGAACUAAUCACAGUUUCAGUGUGCUGAACUGCUGACUGUUAAACCAAGUGUUCCUCUGACACAACGGCUCAGAACGGGUUGCUCUUUGCACAGCAGUCCAGCCCAGUUUAUUUUUAACUCCUAAAUCUUCUUAGCCCUUCAUUUGCAUAUGUGUGUGUGUGUGUGUGUGUGUGUGUUUGUGUUUGUGUUGUGUGUGUGUGUGUGUGUGUGUAUGUGUUUGUGAGUGUCUGUAAGUGCACGUGCAAAUGUUUUUGUCAAACUUGUUUGGAUGCCAAUGUGUUACUUGUAUGCAUGCUUUAUCCUAUCAGAAUGAUUUCUGUUUGUGUGGUGUGUCUGUGUGUGUUGGUAUGUGGUGUGCGUGCACAUCUGGGUCCUGCUCGGCUUAGCUUUCCCCGCAAGGACACCAACUCCCUGCUCCAGGUGGCUGAUGGGAAAUCCACCUGUUAGGCUUGUUUGGUUGCCGUGGUGAUUCUGUCAGAGGUGGACUUUAGGUGCUCUAGCGGCUAGCCCAUGCUGUAUCGGAAUGCGAGCUCCGCUAAUCAAGGGGCUCACCCUAAGGAGGGAGUGACCCUUACCCACCACCUUCCACUGAGGAGCUCCACCGGUAGGAACCAGGCCGACCAGGCCAAACCAGAGCUCUGCAAACCGUCAUGAUAUGAAGGUUAGGACCACCGAUCUGCAUCCCUGAGAAGUCAGCUAGUUAAAGGGCCACAAGCUGCUUGAGUUGUAAGAUAGGUAAAUAGCUUCAAGCUAGCAAAAUAACAACAAGAAACAUCAAUAGUAGCUAUUAAAUACUUACUAGACAAUACAACGCCAAAAAGCAACAAGUUAGCUAAAUAGCCUCAAGAUAGCUAAAUGUACAAAAAUACUAGGUCUAAUAUAAUUAGCAGCUAUAAGGAUACUUA
Long non-coding RNA from Gadus morhua (Atlantic cod), 1507 nucleotides. RefSeq lists it as uncharacterized. The record is from RefSeq and is a predicted model, not a curated record. NCBI's taxonomy places the organism in Eukaryota, Metazoa, Chordata, Actinopteri, Gadiformes, Gadidae. The transcript is spliced from 3 exons.